ACUCAAAUGAAUUGACGGGGGCCCGCACAAGCGGUGGAGCAUGUGGUUUAAUUCGACGCAACGCGAAGAACCUUACCUGGGUUUGAACUGCAGAGGACAGCUCCUGAAAGGGAGUCUCCCGCAAGGGUCUCUGUAGAGGUGCUGCAUGGCUGUCGUCAGCUCGUGUCGUGAGAUGUUGGGUUAAGUCCCGUAACGAGCGCAACCCCUAUCCUUAGUUGCCAGCGGGUCAAGCCGGGAACUCUAAGGAAACCGCCGGUGACAAACCGGAGGAAGGUGGGGAUGACGUCAAGUCCUCAUGGCCUUUAUGUCCAGGGCCACACACGUGCUACAAUGGCCGGUACAAAGGGUUGCCAAACUGCAAAGUGGAGCUAAUCCCAAAAAGCCGGUCUCAGUUCGGAUUGGGGGCUGCAACUCGCCCCCAUGAAGGUGGAAUCGCUAGUAAUUGCGGAUCAGAACGCCGCGGUGAAUACGUUCCCGGGCCUUGUACACACCGCCCGU
Molecule: ribosomal RNA, 498 nt
Filed under: uncultured bacterium
Lineage: Bacteria
Description: partial 16S ribosomal RNA
Rfam family: Bacterial small subunit ribosomal RNA
Source: RNAcentral